Molecule: unclassified non-coding RNA, 200 nt
Filed under: soil metagenome
Description: partial contains internal transcribed spacer 2 and large subunit ribosomal RNA
Source: RNAcentral
UGCCUGUUCGAGCGUCAUUAUGACCAAAUCACCUUCUGGUGGACUUGGAGCUGGCCGUUAGGCUCUCUCAAAAUCAGUGGCGGUGCUAGUAAGCUCUACGCGUAGUAAUUUUCUCGCGACAGUGUCUUGUUAGUCCUUGUCAACAACCCCAAUUUUUUAAGGUUGACCUCGGAUCAGGUAGGGAUACCCGCUGAACUUAA